This is a long non-coding RNA of Physeter macrocephalus (sperm whale), 366 nucleotides long. RefSeq lists it as uncharacterized. The transcript is spliced from 3 exons. The record is from RefSeq and is a predicted model, not a curated record. Lineage: Eukaryota; Metazoa; Chordata; Mammalia; Artiodactyla; Physeteridae.
UACUGGAAAGUUGAGCAAGGGCAGAAGAGAUGUCAACCUGGAAGCUGGAGGUGCCACGCGGAGCUGGGGAGCCCAGGGCCAAUCAGCAGGACUCACCUCCCUCUGGCUGGACCGGCUGAGAAACAAGGAAACCUCCUCCAGGCUCUGGGGCUUCAGGUCGUUCACGGCCAAAAGCUCCAAGUUCACGAAGCCAGGUCAUGCUGAGUCGGGGAUGAGGAAGGGUUCCCAUUUUAUUUUACAAACAGCAACAACAACUCCCAACAAGGUAGGUGGUACUCUUAACUGAAGCUGACUGGAAAAUCACUGGAUUGGAAUACAUAGUAUGAAAAGGCAAAAUGACCAAUAAUAUUAUCUUUAGGGAGAAGG